Molecule: ribosomal RNA, 1217 nt
Filed under: uncultured Rhizaria
Lineage: Eukaryota
Description: SSU rRNA
Rfam family: Eukaryotic small subunit ribosomal RNA
Source: RNAcentral
CGGUAAUUCCAGCUCCAAUAGCGUAUACUAAAGUUGUUGCAGUUAAAAAGCUCGUAGUUGGAUUUCUGCGGGGACGGAGCGGCCGGACGCAACUUGCGUCUCGAGCUAGCGCUUUCCCCGCAUCCUGCCGCGAACCGUGCUACCAUUAGUUUGGUGGCGCUGGGGAUCGGCUCGAUUACUUUGAGAAAAAUAGAGUGUUCAAAGCAGGCCACACGCCUUGAAUAAGUUAGCAUGGAAUAAUGACUAAGGACUUUGGUUCUUUUCGUUGGUGUUCGGGACUGAAGUAAUGAUUGAUAGGGACAGUUGGGGCGGUCCAUAUUCCAAAGCGAGAGGUGAAAUUCUUAGACCUUCGGAAGACGAACAGCUGCGAAAGCGUUCCGCAAGGAUGUUCCCUUUGAUCAAGAACGAAAGUUGGGGGAUCGAAGACGAUCAGAUACCGUCGUAGUCUCAACUAUAAACUAUACCAGCUAGGGAUCGGCCAACGUUUAAUUAUUCGACUUGGUCGGCACCUUAUGAGAAAUCAAAGCAUCUGGGUUCCGGGGGGAGUAUGGUCGCAAGGCUGAAACUUAAAGGAAUUGACGGAAGGGCACCACCAGGCGUGGAGCCUGUGGCUUAAUUUGACUCAACACGGGAAAACUUACCAGGUCCAGACAUAGGAAGGAUUGACAGAUUGAUAGCUCUUUCUUGAUUCUGUGGGUGGUGGUGCAUGGCCGUUUUUAGUCGGUGAAGUGAUUUGUCUGCUUAAUUGCGUUAACGGACGAGACCCCAGCCUGCUAAAUAGCGCGGCCGAGCUUUGCUCGGUACGAGCUUCUUAGAGGGACCAUGAUGCGCGAUAGCACAAGGAAGUUUGGGGCAACAACAGGUCUGUGAUGCCCUUAGAUGUUCUGGGCCGCACACGGGCUACACUGGCGCCUGCAACGAGCAUAUCAGCUGGCCCGAGAGGGUCUUGGCUAAUCUUUGGAACCGGCGCCGUGCUUGGGAUUGACCAUUGCAAUUGUUGGUCAUGCAACGAGGAAUGCCUUGUAAACGCGAGUCAUCAGCUCGCAUUGAAUACGUCCCUGCCCUUUGUACACACCGCCCGUCGCUCCUACCGAUGAAUGUUCCGAUGAAAUUUUCGGAGAGCGCCGGAGAACGGGGCUCUGCCCUGCAGAACUGGAGGCUCAAAGUCACUUAAAUCUGAACAUUUCGAGGAAGGAGAAGUCGUAACAAGGUAGCCG